CCUACGGGUGGCUGCAGUGGGGAAUAUUGGACAAUGGGGGGAACCCUGAUCCAGCCAUGCCGCGUGUGUGAAGAAGGCCCUCGGGUUGUAAAGCACUUUCAGUGAGGAAGAACGCCUGGGCGUUAAUACCCAUCAGGAAAGACAUCACUCACAGAAGAAGCACCGGCUAACUCCGUGCCAGCAGCCGCGGUAAUACGGAGGGUGCGAGCGUUAAUCGGAAUUACUGGGCGUAAAGCGCGCGUAGGUGGCUUGAUAAGCCGGUUGUGAAAGCCCCGGGCUCAACCUGGGAACGGCAUCCGGAACUGUCAAGCUAGAGUGUAGGAGAGGAAGGUAGAAUUCCCGGUGUAGCGGUGAAAUGCGUAGAGAUCGGGAGGAAUACCAGUGGCGAAGGCGGCCUUCUGGACUGACACUGACACUGAGGUGCGAAAGCGUGGGUAGCAAACAGGAUUAGAUACCCGUGUAGUC
Molecule: ribosomal RNA, 465 nt
Filed under: Vreelandella stevensii
Lineage: Bacteria; Pseudomonadati; Pseudomonadota; Gammaproteobacteria; Oceanospirillales; Halomonadaceae
Description: partial 16S ribosomal RNA
Rfam family: Bacterial small subunit ribosomal RNA
Source: RNAcentral